This 253-nucleotide ribosomal RNA is filed under the name uncultured bacterium. RNAcentral describes it as "partial 16S ribosomal RNA". It matches the Rfam family "Bacterial small subunit ribosomal RNA", at positions 524 to 776 of the family's 1533-position model. The record is from RNAcentral.
UACGAAGGGGGCGAGCGUUGUUCGGAAUCACUGGGCGUAAAGGGCGCGUAGGCGGCCCUCCUUGUCGCGUGUGAAAGCCCCGGGCUCAACCUGGGAACGGCGCGCGAGACGGGGGGGCUGGAGUUCGGGAGAGGAGCGUGGAAUUCCCAGUGUAGAGGUGAAAUUCGUAGAUAUUGGGAAGAACACCGGUGGCGAAGGCGGCGAGCUGGUCCAUUACUGACGCUGAGGCGCGACAGCGUGGGGAGCAAACAGG